GGAUCUGCUGCCCUCUUCUUCCUUAUCCUUCAAGAGAUUAAUUGGGGUUAUUCGUGCAGCCUGUUGAAACUGUCAGGAACAUGACAUGCUGAAAUGUGGGACCAGAUGUGAACUUGGGUCAUCAAGUCCAGUGUUGGGUAAGCAUGCAUCAUAUUAAACCCUGAUGCGGAACAUACCAAAAAAUAGGGAGAAACUAAGAGAAAUGUAAGGAGGUUUCCAUUGGGGAACUUCGGAAAGGCAUUAAAUGUCUGCUCAUGGGGUUUGGCUGAAGGAGAGUUUAAAAAAAAAAUCUGAAAAAAAAAAAAACCAUAAAUCAUGAUCCAGCAUCAUCACAAGCAUUUACCUCACAGCCUUGUCUUCUCCAUCCAUUUCUUUGAUCAUUCAAAUCCUCUGCUGUUUCUCUGAGAAAGAGCAUCUUGUCCUUGAUUUUUUUGUGGAUUUUCUGUGUAUUUUCUGAGUUGUGGGUAUCCUAAAGAUUUAUUUUCAGGGUGAAAUGCUCUUAGAAGGUUUCAGGUUGUUUAAUGUGUGAAUUCAUUAAUGCAAAUAGGGUGCAGGUCUCCUUGUACAGCAAUAUUAUCUCUGUGUGUUUCAGCUAAGGACCAGCAUGACGUUCACUCCAGAGCCCUGGAAGCCACUGCUAAUGUGUAAUUCCUGCCUUGAUGGUCUUCCUGCCCUUGUCAUGGCUAAUGAUCUGCCAGGGCAAAGGCUGGGUUUGAAACUGAUUGCUAUCAACAUUUACAUCUGGGAAUGGAUCUGAAUGUCAAGGAGCAUUUAAGAAAUCGGUUAUCAGAGGAUUGCAGCAGAGGUACCUCGGUAGGCUGAAGUGGGAAGGUACUUCAGAGGUUCAGUGGUCACUGGGGAAGGGCUUGGGAGAAGGGCACCAAAAAAGAGAAAGUUUUUUGGUGGUACUGGUGAUGAGUAAAAAAAAAAGUCUGUUGUGGCUUCCACUUCUCCACAGCAGGAGAGCACAGCUUUAUAGAGACCCUUUCUUCAAGAAGUGGGAUGAAGUAUCUGUGGCCUUUAAAGAAGGAUGUCAGGAUGUGGUAACCAUUAACCAUGCAAAGGAGGCAUUCCUACACACGAGGGAAAUGCACCCUCGUCAACACAUGACUGAAUGCAGCUGCCAUGCCCUUAGGGGGGUAAUAGGACCACACGGUGCCAAUGGAAAGGACACUUUUUUGUUGUCAAGCAUCUCCAGUUGCUGCUUUCUGAUGCUCAAGGACUGGACUGUGGUGGAUGGCUGCUGGCACGUGGCCCACGCAAACUCCAUUCUCUGGUAGGACAAAGGGGCAUAAUGUAAAGUCAAGCUGAGCCAAAAAUGUUGCAAGUGACAUUUAUUUCAGAGACGUCUGCUUCAGAAAAUUUCCAGUAUUUCAACUUACCUUAAGAAUGAAAUCACCAAUGAAGAUUGCACUUCUUUCUUCUCCAUCUCUCAUGAGGCAGAGGGAGGCGGUGGAGGUGAUGAAAAACAGAAGAUACAGCUGGAACUGUGAGAAAUUCAGGUUUACAAAAUAUAAUAAUCUAAACUGUAAUUUAGCUAAAUGCAUGCAACUAGAUCUAACUGCUGAAAUGUGCACUGAGGUUGCUAGGGGCUAAUUUUGCCAGCCCUUAAUGCUGUAAAUAUACUUCCUGAAAGAUGAUGAAGGCUGUGUGAAAAUUGUUUGAAUUCUUUAGGAAUGGACAGUUCAUGCUCCCUGAAGAAAAAAGUACAAGUAUUUAAAUUUAAGUGCUUAGUACUUUGCAGUCUCAUCCACUCUGGAGGGUAUGUCAUUGAGCAGAAUGCGGUCACUUAAGUUUACAAGUCAACAAGAAUGUGUUCAAAUUCAAAACAUCAAGGGAAACCAGGUGAGUCAGAAGUCUGCAAUGUGAAAUACUUCAGUCAAAAUUUACUAAAGCUUCACUUUUGUUCUGUUUUUGCUGUCUCUUUGUUGUUGCUGUUUUCAUCUCAACUGGGGAAAUUCGCUAGAAUUAAUCAGCAUUUGUUUUGUAGGCACUAGCAAUAUAUUUAAAACAAACAAAACAAACAAAUAAACAAAAAACAACAACAAACA
RNAcentral lists this long non-coding RNA (2051 nucleotides) under Anas platyrhynchos platyrhynchos (common mallard). RNAcentral's name for it is "lncRNA (ENSAPLG00000029856.1)". The record is from RNAcentral. Lineage: Eukaryota; Metazoa; Chordata; Aves; Anseriformes; Anatidae.